UACAGAGGUCUCAAGCGUUGUUCGGAUUCAUUGGGCGUAAAGAGUGCGUAGGUGGCGCUGUAAGUCGGGUGUGAAAUUUCGGAGCUUAACUCCGAAACUGCAUUCGAUACUGCGGUGCUUGAGGACUGGAGAGGAGACUGGAAUUCAUGGUGUAGCAGUGAAAUGCGUAGAGAUCAUGAGGAAGACCAGUGGCGAAGGCGGGUCUCUGGACAGUUCCUGACACUGAGGCACGAAGGCCAGGGGAGCAAACGGG
This 253-nucleotide ribosomal RNA is filed under the name uncultured bacterium. RNAcentral's name for it is "partial 16S ribosomal RNA". It matches the Rfam family "Bacterial small subunit ribosomal RNA", at positions 524 to 776 of the family's 1533-position model. The record is from RNAcentral.